CCUACGUGUGGCAGCAGUAGGGAAUAUUGCUCAAUGGGGGAAACUCUGAAGCAGCAACGCCGCGUGGAGGAUGAAGGUUUUCGGAUUGUAAACUCCUUUUGUUAGAGAUGAUAACGAUGGUAUUUACCCAAUAACCACCGGCUACUUCCGUGCAAGCAGCCGCGGUAAUACGGAGGGUGCAAGCGUCGCUCGGAAGCACUGGGCGUAAAGAGCGCGUAGGCGGGAUAGCAAGUCAGAUGUGAAAUCCUUUGGCUUAACCAUAGAACUGCAUUUGAAACUAUUAUUAUAGAGUAUGGGAGAGGUAGGUGGAAUUCUUGGUGUAGGGGUAGAAUGCGUAGAGAUCAAGAGGAAUACUCGUGGCGAAGGCGACCUGAUGGAACGUAACUGACGCUGAUGCGCGAAAGCGUGGGGAGCAAACAGGAUUAGAUAUCCUUGUAGUC
RNAcentral lists this ribosomal RNA (440 nucleotides) under uncultured bacterium. RNAcentral's name for it is "partial 16S ribosomal RNA". It matches the Rfam family "Bacterial small subunit ribosomal RNA", at positions 338 to 795 of the family's 1533-position model. The record is from RNAcentral.